GACGAACGCUGGCGGCGUGGAUUAGGCAUGCAAGUCGGACGGUAGGGCUUUAUCGUAAGAUAGAGUUUGAGAGUGGCGAACGGGUGAGUAACACGUAGGAAUCUACCCUUAAGACGGGGACAACCCAGGGAAACUUGGGCUAAUACCGGAUGAGAGUGCGAGAGAUUGCAUUUAAAAGGAUGGCGAAAGUUGUCGCUUAGGGAUGAGCCUGCGGUCUAUUAGUUAGUUGGUGAGGUAAGAGCUCACCAAGGCGAUGAUAGAUAGGCGGCCUUAACGGGUGGUCGCCCACACUGGGACUGAGACACGGCCCAGACUCCUACGGGAGGCAGCAGUGAGGAAUAUUGGUCAAUGGGCGGAAGCCUGAACCAGCCAUGCCGCGUGCGGGAUGAAGGCCCUACGGGUUGUAAACCGCUUUUCCCCGGGAAGAAUAAGCCCCCGCGGGGGUGAGUGCCGGUACCGGGGAAUAAGGAUCGGCUAACUCCGUG
This 485-nucleotide ribosomal RNA is filed under the name uncultured bacterium. RNAcentral's name for it is "bacterial SSU rRNA". It matches the Rfam family "Bacterial small subunit ribosomal RNA", at positions 28 to 507 of the family's 1533-position model. The record is from RNAcentral.